UUCAGAUCACUUUGUAGCUCAU
RNAcentral lists this microRNA (22 nucleotides) under Eptesicus fuscus (big brown bat). RNAcentral's name for it is "efu-miR-9239". Lineage: Eukaryota; Metazoa; Chordata; Mammalia; Chiroptera; Vespertilionidae. The record is from miRBase by way of RNAcentral.